Molecule: non-coding RNA, 2751 nt
Organism: Triticum urartu
Lineage: Eukaryota; Viridiplantae; Streptophyta; Magnoliopsida; Poales; Poaceae
Source: RefSeq, a predicted model, not a curated record
GAGAAGCCCUAAUGAUGCUGCGGAUGAACGAAGCCGCCGGCGGUGAGGGCAGCGAUUAUGGGAGAGGAGGAGCUGGAGCACCACCUCCGCGUCCACCACCAGGAGCACCCGGGUGGCGUCGACGGUGAUGGGGACGGUGAUAUCGAGGCUGAGGGUGAGGGCAAGUGCUAGGAUGAAGGCGAGGACGAGCUCUCCUGAGUACGAGGAGGAGGGAUUCGAUGAUGAUGAGGAGGUGGAGGAUGUGGAGCCAGAGCUAGACCCUGCAGAGUAUGAGGAUGACGAGGCUUACGCUCGAGUGCUUCAGGACGCCGAGGAGCGUGAGGGCGGGCGGUGGAGCAUGUCGAGGAUCACAUAAAUGACACGCAGCCUAUCCACCUCAGCAGCCUUGCCACAUAAUCAAUUUCUCUUAAUUAUUUUGGUCAUGCAGCUCACCACAUCAGCAUUCUUAAAAAAAUCGUGUGAACCUACUCUCUAAAAACCGAAGAGGCCCCGUUGAUAUUUAUGUAACCGAAGAGUGGAAGUCCGACAGGAGCACACGCCGGGCCGGAUCCCAUUACUUCUCCGCUUCAGUUCCAUGGCUCCACCACUUCCUUUCCCACAGCCCGUCGCUUCGUGCAUCUUCUCCAAUAUCCAAGCUCCAUGGCUGCAACAACCAGUGCGUCAAGCCUACCCUGCCACCGCCCCGUCCAUGUGCACCGUUUUCACCUGUGGCCGGCCCGCCUCGCCGCCGAGAGCAAACCGCCAGAUAGCCUGUGCUAUAGCUUCCUCAGGGCCCUCCUCGCCAUCGCACAUGGCGCAGCUCUGGUGUUGGUCCUUCACUGGAGCGCUGAUGUUCUCCAACAAAUUCUACAUCCACGGGAGCCAAUAGUCUAAUGGCAAGGAGGAUGGACGAGGGCUCUCAAUCUGAUUCUAAUCUGCGAUGUCAACAAGAUUAAAUCAGCUUUACGAAGAGAGAUUACCUCUAAACAACACAGAAACUAAAAUGCAGGGAAACUAAUUAAAGGAGGAAGACACUCCAAUAGGUGCUCCUGUCUAGAGUUUGGAACCAUUGGCUGAAUGAUACUACGGGCCUCUGAAAAACUAUUUAAGAUUGGUUUUCACUUUCACAUUUUUGAUGUUACUGCAUGCCAUUGGGAGCAAAUUCCAGUUACAAGUGCCUGCAGCAAGUAGGGUAUUGUUUUUUAUUAGUAGGCGGAUAUGUGUUUACUCUAUUGAGGCGGAGCGUAGGAGACUAUCCAUUUUGCUACCGGAAUCUCGGUAUGUCUUUGCUCUCUUUUUCUAUUUUUUCUUUCUUCCGAUUAACUGCAAUUCACGUCAAUGAAACAUGCCAUCUUACUGUUCACAUUCUAUAUUCUGGGUUGUGAUAUUGAUGGGUUCUCUUUCUUUUGCAAUACUACACGAGAAUAGCAUAUUUAAGUUCAGAUAUGCACAUGGCAGAAACAUUUGCUUUUUAGUUUUCUGCAGUAAUUACUGUGAUGAAACAUGCCAUUUUAUUCUCUUAUGUUUGAGUCCAAAUCAAUUGUGAACAUGCUACUUUCAUACUUAUCAUGUACCGUGCUAGAAGGAUCCAACCCAAUUGUUUUUUUUACUCAUGUAAAAUGGAAGAGAAAAUAUUUUUUUGGUGGUUUUGAUCACCUGGGAGGUUUACUCUAGGGUGAAAAGGCUCCAUUUCUUUUUUCUGAGCCAAGUAUCAUAUAAAUUUGCUACCUACAUGUUCGGUCGAAUACUGAAAAGAAUAAAUUUAUGGAUUACUCCGACCUGAAAACCUUAAAUCUUGCAAGAAAUCUACAUCACACCGAAAUCUUGAUAGAGUUGCAAACUGCCAUUUUCUUAGGUCAACCUUUUCCUGUUCUAGCUAUAAUGUCCCAUGUAUAUACACUAGGUGAAAUUAGGCAUUUAUGCUAUUGACAACAAGACAUAUUUAACUACAUCUUAAGAUUUCAGACCCGUCGUAACUUCACUUGCACCCAACACCAUGUAUCAUAUAUAUAGUUAUAUACUCAUAGAAAUGAGUAUACCACUAGACCAUGUCAAACACAAAUGCUUUGUUCAAUUUCAUUUUCUGUAUUUAUCAUUUUUGUAUGCAGAAGGAGUCAUGUCGAUUAGAAUACAAUCCAGCAUAUGCUCUUGCUGAGCAUUUGGAAUCAUUGGCUUAAUGAACUACUGUCCUCCCAAUAACUAUUUAUGAUUGGAUUAGAGCUUUUAUAAAUUUUAUAUUACUGCUUCUGGAGCAAAUUCUCAUUUAUAAAUUUCCAAAAAAGGAGUUGUUUUUAAUGGUAGACAGGGUGUCUCUUCACUCUCCUGAGGAUGAGCAUCUGAGAUUAUCCUGUUGGGAUUAUCGACCGGAAUCUUGGUUAUUCUCUUCCUAAAUAGCGCUACAAAUUCCCGCAGCAACGCGCGGGGCAUCAUCUAGUUUCGUUAAUGUGUGUGACAUACAGUGUAGUACUUGCUUAUUUCAUUGAAGCAGUGACAUAAUUGCUUGGUAGAGCUAAUUUAUUCUCUGAUAUAUUAUGCUAAAAGUGGUAAAUUUACCUCCUGCCAUGUUUUCUCCGGGGAUUGUGGCAUGCACCUCCGGUUCGUCUAAUUUAUGCACGGAGAACUUUGUCUUUGUUCAAAUUGUGGUACUGUGUUUUUGCUUACUUAUUGAAACCAGCCAAAUUUGACCGAGUAACUUACAUUUACAAAUCGGCAUGUUAUUGAAAAAACACAGGGUUCAUGGCAAGAGAUUGAUCCAGAUGAGUACUCAUACGA